GGUUAAGCGACUAAGCGUACACGGUGGAUGCCCUGGCAGUCAGAGGCGAUGAAGGACGUGCUAAUCUGCGAUAAGCGUCGGUAAGGUGAUAUGAACCGUUAUAACCGGCGAUUUCCGAAUGGGGAAACCCAGUGCAAUUCGUUGCACUAUCGUUAAGUGAAUACAUAGCUUAACGAAGCGAACCGGGGGAACUGAAACAUCUAAGUACCCCGAGGAAAAGAAAUCAACCGAGAUUCCCCCAGUAGCGGCGAGCGAACGGGGAGCAGCCCAGAGUCUGAAUCAGCGCGUGUGUUAGUGGAACGGUCUGGAAAGUCCGGCGGUACAGGGUGAUAGCCCCGUACACUAAAAUGCACACGUUGUGAACUCGAAGAGUAGGGCGGGACACGUGGUAUCCUGUCUGAAUAUGGGGGGACCAUCCUCCAAGGCUAAAUACUCCUGACUGACCGAUAGUGAACCAGUACCGUGAGGGAAAGGCGAAAAGAACCCCGGCGAGGGGAGUGAAAAAGAACCUGAAACCGUGUACGUACAAGCAGUGGGAGCCUACUUGUUAGGUGACUGCGUACCUUUUGUAUAAUGGGUCAGCGACUUAUAUUCUGUAGCAAGGUUAACCGUAUAGGGGAGCCGCAGGGAAACCGAGUCUUAACUGGGCGUUAAGUUGCAGGGUAUAGACCCGAAACCCGGUGAUCUAGCCAUGGGCAGGUUGAAGGUUGGGUAACACUAACUGGAGGACCGAACCGACUAAUGUUGAAAAAUUAGCGGAUGACUUGUGGCUGGGGGUGAAAGGCCAAUCAAACCGGGAGAUAGCUGGUUCUCCCCGAAAGCU
RNAcentral lists this ribosomal RNA (823 nucleotides) under Klebsiella ornithinolytica. RNAcentral's name for it is "partial 23S ribosomal RNA". It matches the Rfam family "Bacterial large subunit ribosomal RNA", at positions 1 to 867 of the family's 2925-position model. The record is from RNAcentral. Lineage: Bacteria; Pseudomonadati; Pseudomonadota; Gammaproteobacteria; Enterobacterales; Enterobacteriaceae.